AAACCAACAGGGAUUUCGUUAGUAGCGGCGAGUGAAGCGGCAAAAAGCUAAAAUUUGAAAUCUGGCACCUUCGGUGUCCGAGUUGUAAUUUGAAGAUUGUAACCUUGGGGUUGGCUCUUGUCUAUGUUUCUUGGAACAGGACGUCACAGAGGGUGAGAAUCCCGUGCGAUGAGAUGCCCAAUCCUAUGUAAGGUGCUUUCGAAGAGUCGAGUUGUUUGGGAAUGCAGCUCUAAGUGGGUGGUAAAUUCCAUCUAAAGCUAAAUAUUGGCGAGAGACCGAUAGCGAACAAGUACAGUGAUGGAAAGAUGAAAAGAACUUUGAAAAGAGAGUGAAAAAGUACGUGAAAUUGUUGAAAGGGAAGGGUUUGAGAUCAGACUCGAUAUUUUGUGAGCCUUGCCUUCGUGGCGGGGUGACCCGCAGCUUAUCGGGCCAGCAUCGGUUUGGGCGGUAGGAUAAUGGCGUAGGAAUGUGACUUUGCUUCGGUGAAGUGUUAUAGCCUGCGUUGAUGCUGCCUGCCUAGACCGAGGACUGCGAUUUUAUCAAGGAUGCUGGCAUAA
RNAcentral lists this ribosomal RNA (557 nucleotides) under [Candida] sp. ST-60. RNAcentral describes it as "eukaryotic LSU rRNA". It matches the Rfam family "Eukaryotic large subunit ribosomal RNA", at positions 62 to 634 of the family's 3401-position model. Lineage: Eukaryota; Fungi; Ascomycota; Saccharomycetes; Saccharomycetales. The record is from RNAcentral.